UCCUCUUGCAGUUCCCUGUUGCUGUCUUUCCAGCAGACAAGUCUGUUUUCAUGGCACAAGGCACCACGCUUCUGUUUCGGGGAAAAAUCCACACUGCUGGGACUGAAAAGAUAUGCUUCCCUAGAUGUGUUUAUCAAACCACGUCCAAGCAGCUGCAUUUUGAAAAAUGUGGCCCUCUAGAGCUAGUGGCAACAACUGCUGACUAACAAAGUAGCUCUGUACUUUGGACCUCACUGCAGGAAGAAAAAUGCCUGAGCCAUAAGGGUGAACCACGGAGUUCCUGGAUCCUACCAAUAUCCAAUCUUCUUCUCAAGAGUGACCUGCAGGAAUUGUCUAUAUGGGGGUAAGGCUUCAUGACAGAGGAUGUAUUUCAACUAGAAAAAUGCUGUCGGAAAUAUAUUCCCUGAAGACUACAUAGAACUUCAGAACUUCAGGAUACAGAAGGACAGCAAAGUGGCAUGACCUCAGAUUUUUCUUUUCUUUGAGUUAUGUGUUUGGUUUCUUUCCCCUAUUAUUUGUCUAUGAAAUUAGUUUUGUACGUGAAAUAAUUCAUUUUUCAGUUUUUCAAGACUUUGCUGUUUUUCACUUUUAAGGAUCGUUAUGGAAAUCACUUUAAAUUUGGUUGCUGACUUUAGCUGGAGAAUAAUGAGUUUCAUGUCACAAACUACAGUUCUGUAUAACUGUAAGCCUAUUUGAUUUCCCCAAUUUUAGUUGUUAUAAAUCUAAUAAAUAACAUAAAUAAUAUACUACUUUUGAUCACUUCUAUAUAUUGACUCUCAUGUAUAUAUCUGAAUGUUCCUUUUAUCAAAACAUAGGAUACUAAGCAUAUGUUUAUCACCUGGCAUGCUUAUAAACAAAAUUGGCUGAAGGUACAUGGUCAAACAGCUCAGCUGAACACAGGCUGUUGUUCAGUCAGCUUUCUACCUCUGUGAGGAAACUUUGUAUAAAUAACAAACCUACAGCAACACUACAGUGUGUAUAAAACACAUCCAUACAUUUUACUAGGUUUUAAGUCCUGAUACAUUUUUUUGAUAGUUCUUACUGCAUGUGCCUUCUUCUGUGCUAUACUCCUUGGAUAGGAGUAGGGAAGGGAACAGCUCUUGUUGCCUUACCUCAUUAGCAUGCAUUUAUUAUUUGUUUUCUGUGUAAUUACUGUCCCAGAACAGUACAAAAUUAGGUGUUAGCACUCUAAAAGGUGUCAAGGUAAAAACUUCAGCUUAUUUAUUUCCUUCCGCAGUAGCUGACAUUUUGAUUGCCUGUCACCUGGAUCUGCUGCAUAAGCCAAGUUAUAAGGCUCCUUAUGGCAAGGCCAAGUGAUUUUUUAAUAUCUUAAAAAGAGAAGGGAUCUUUCCCAUUUCUAUUUAUUUCUCAAAU
Long non-coding RNA from Corvus hawaiiensis (hawaiian crow), 1374 nucleotides. RefSeq lists it as uncharacterized. The record is from RefSeq and is a predicted model, not a curated record. NCBI's taxonomy places the organism in Eukaryota, Metazoa, Chordata, Aves, Passeriformes, Corvidae. The transcript is spliced from 3 exons.